UACAGAGGGGGCAAGCGUUGUUCGGAAUUACUGGGCGUAAAGGGCGCGUAGGCGGCCUGCUAAGUCGAACGUGAAAUCCCCGAGCUCAACUCGGGAACUGCGUCCGAUACUGGCAGGCUUGAAUCCGAGAGAGGGAUGCGGAAUUCCAGGUGUAGCGGUGAAAUGCGUAGAUAUCUGGAGGAACACCGGUGGCGAAGGCGGCAUCCUGGACCGGCAUUGACGCUGAGGCGCGAAAGCCAGGGGAGCAAACGGG
This 253-nucleotide ribosomal RNA is filed under the name uncultured bacterium. Its description in RNAcentral is "partial 16S ribosomal RNA". It matches the Rfam family "Bacterial small subunit ribosomal RNA", at positions 524 to 776 of the family's 1533-position model. The record is from RNAcentral.